RNAcentral lists this ribosomal RNA (815 nucleotides) under uncultured bacterium. RNAcentral's name for it is "bacterial SSU rRNA". It matches the Rfam family "Bacterial small subunit ribosomal RNA", at positions 66 to 871 of the family's 1533-position model. The record is from RNAcentral.
ACGGCAGCACAGCAGAGCUUGCUCUGUGGGUGGCGAGUGGCGGACGGGUGAGUAAUGCAUCGGAACGUGUCCUGGAGUGGGGGAUAGCCCGGCGAAAGCCGGAUUAAUACCGCAUACGCUCGAGAGAGGAAAGCGGGGGAUCUUCGGACCUCGCGCUCAAGGGGCGGCCGAUGGCGGAUUAGCUAGUUGGUAGGGUAAAGGCCUACCAAGGCGACGAUCCGUAGCUGGUCUGAGAGAACGACCAGCCACACUGGGACUGAGACGCGGCCCAGACUCCUACGGGAGGCAGCAGUGGGGAAUUUUGGACAAUGGGGGCAACCCUGAUCCAGCAAUGCCGCGUGUGUGAAGAAGGCCUUCGGGUUGUAAAGCACUUUUGUCCGGAAAGAAAUCCUCUGGGUUAAUACCUCGGGGGGAUGACGGUACCGGAAGAAUAAGCACCGGCUAACUACGUGCCAGCAGCCGCGGUAAUACGUAGGGUGCGAGCGUUAAUCGGAAUUACUGGGCGUAAAGCGUGCGCAGGCGGUUUGCUAAGACCGAUGUGAAAUCCCCGGGCUUAACCUGGGAACUGCAUUGGUGACUGGCGGGCUAGAGUGUGGCAGAGGGGGGUAGAAUUCCACGUGUAGCAGUGAAAUGCGUAGAGAUGUGGAGGAAUACCGAUGGCGAAGGCAGCCCCCUGGGCCAACACUGACGCUCAUGCACGAAAGCGUGGGGAGCAAACAGGAUUAGAUACCCUGGUAGUCCACGCCCUANACGAUGUCAACUAGUUGUUGGGGAUUNAUUUCCUUAGUAACGUAGCUAACGCGUGAAGUUGACCG